UACGUAGGGUGCAAGCGUUGUCCGGAAUUAUUGGGCGUAAAAGAGCUCGUAGGCGGUCUGUCACGUCGGCUGUGAAAACCCGAGGCUCAACCUCGGGCCUGCAGUCGAUACGGGCAAACUAGAGUACUGCAGGGGAGACUGGAAUUCCUGGUGUAGCGGUGAAAUGCGCAGAUAUCGGGAGGAACGACCGGUGGCGAAGGCGGGUCUCUGGGCAGUAACUGACGCUGAGGAGCGAAAGCGUGGGGGAGCGAACAGG
RNAcentral lists this ribosomal RNA (256 nucleotides) under uncultured bacterium. RNAcentral's name for it is "partial 16S ribosomal RNA". It matches the Rfam family "Bacterial small subunit ribosomal RNA", at positions 524 to 776 of the family's 1533-position model. The record is from RNAcentral.